UACGUAGGGGGCAAGCGUUGUCCGGAAUCAUUGGGCGUAAAGCGCGCGUAGGCGGCCUCGUAAGUCCGCUGUGAAAGUCAAAGGCUCAACCUUUGAAUGCCGGUGGAUACUGCGAGGCUAGAGUCCGGAAGAGGCGAGUGGAACUCCUGGUGUAGCGGUGGAAUGCGCAGAUAUCAGGAAGAACACCAACGGCGAAGGCAGCUCGCUAGGACGGUACCGACGCUAAGGCGCGAAAGCGUGGGGAGCAAACAGG
This 253-nucleotide ribosomal RNA is filed under the name uncultured bacterium. RNAcentral's name for it is "partial 16S ribosomal RNA". It matches the Rfam family "Bacterial small subunit ribosomal RNA", at positions 524 to 776 of the family's 1533-position model. The record is from RNAcentral.